This 248-nucleotide unclassified non-coding RNA is filed under the name Hevea brasiliensis (rubber tree). The record is from RNAcentral. Lineage: Eukaryota; Viridiplantae; Streptophyta; Magnoliopsida; Malpighiales; Euphorbiaceae.
AAGCAAAGAAAGAGUUUAGGAGAAAUUCACUAUCAUUAUCAAUUCUAAUUUGUUUAAUGGAAUACUGAAAUUGGGUUUUUACCAAUUAAUAAAAUUGAGGUACAAGGAAAGAAACUUUAGCUUCGGAUUUCAUAAAAAAAACCACACAUAUUUGGUAAAAUCAUUAACAGUAGUGAGAAAGUAAUGAUUUCCACUAAUAUCUUUUUGAAAAUAGGGUCCCCAUACAUCCAUAUGUACCAAUUCAAAAG